Diprion similis is the source of this 229-nucleotide long non-coding RNA. RefSeq lists it as uncharacterized. NCBI's taxonomy places the organism in Eukaryota, Metazoa, Arthropoda, Insecta, Hymenoptera, Diprionidae. The record is from RefSeq and is a predicted model, not a curated record. The transcript is spliced from 3 exons.
CUCCUCCGAUCUGGGUUUCAUAAAAGAAGCAGUGGAAGCUAGGACGGAAAGCAAAGUAUGGGAGAUAAUAAAUAGGGAAAGAAAAAAGUGGAAGAAGGUGAAUGAAGAUAUAGGGGAGGACGAGUGGAGGGGGUAUUUCAUGGGACUAAUAGGUGGAGUGGAAAGAAGGGUAACAGGGGGUGGGAGCACGGCAAACAGGAAGGGGGACGGGGAAGGGGAGUUGCAGAAG